Molecule: ribosomal RNA, 252 nt
Filed under: uncultured bacterium
Lineage: Bacteria
Description: partial 16S ribosomal RNA
Rfam family: Bacterial small subunit ribosomal RNA
Source: RNAcentral
UACGUAGGUCCCGAGCGUUGUCCGGAUUUAUUGGGCGUAAAGCGAGCGCAGGUGGUUUAGUAAGUCUGGUGUAAAAGGCAGUGGCUCAACCAUUGUAUGCAUUGGAAAUUGGUAGACUUGAGUGCAGGAGAGGAGAGUGGAAUUCCAUGUGUAGCGGUGAAAUGCGUAGAUAUAUGGAGGAACACCGGUGGCGAAAGCGGCUCUCUGGCCUGUAACUGACACUGAGGCUCGAAAGCGUGGGGAGCAAACAGG